UUUCAUUAUUUCAAGUUUUGUGGCAAAUUAAAGAUUGUUAUUAAAUUGUGUGUAGGAAACUCCAGUCAUGGCAGUAAAAUAGUAAGCAGCCCUCUUCGAAAUCCAAAAUGGCCGCCCUGGUCUCUGACUACGACAUGUUUGUUUCUUCUUCUCAAGUUCCAGCAGACAGAUUUCAACCAAACGUGGUCAAAAUAAUCAUCUCAUGGCCUUGAAAAUAUUAUUUUGGAACCAAUUAAAAAAUCAAAAUGGCGCUAUGUUUCACAAUACAGAUUUCAACACAA
Gigantopelta aegis is the source of this 281-nucleotide long non-coding RNA. RefSeq lists it as uncharacterized. NCBI's taxonomy places the organism in Eukaryota, Metazoa, Mollusca, Gastropoda, Neomphalida, Peltospiridae. The transcript has 2 exons. The record is from RefSeq and is a predicted model, not a curated record.